CAGUAGCCGCGGGAAUACGAAGGGGGCUAGCGUUACUCGGAAUUAUUGGGCGUAAAGGGCGCGUAGGCGGCACGAUUAGUCAGGCGUGAAAUUCCUGGGCUCAACCUGGGGACUGCGCUUGAUACGGUCGAGCUAGUGGAUGGAAGAGGGUUGUGGAAUUCCCAGUGUAGAGGUGAAAUUCGUAGAUAUUGGGAAGAACACCGGUGGCGAAGGCGGCAACCUGGUCCAUUACUGACGCUGAGGCGCGACAGCGUGGGGAGCAAACAGGAUUAGAUACCCCGGUAGUCCCUGUCUCUUAUAC
Molecule: ribosomal RNA, 301 nt
Filed under: uncultured bacterium
Lineage: Bacteria
Description: partial 16S ribosomal RNA
Rfam family: Bacterial small subunit ribosomal RNA
Source: RNAcentral